CAGUCGAACGAAGCACCUGAGAAUGAUUCUUCGGAUGAAGUCUCUUGUGACUGACUGGCGGACGGGUGAGUAACGCGUGGGUAACCUGCCUCACACAGGGGGAUAACAGUUGGAAACGACCGCUAAUACCGCAUAACCCGCUGGUGCCGCAUGGCACUGACGGAAAAGAUUUAUCGGUGUGAGAUGGACCCGCGUCUGAUUAGCCAGUUGGCAGGGUAACGGCCUACCAAAGCGACGAUCAGUAGCCGGCCUGAGAGGGUGAACGGCCACAUUGGGACUGAGACACGGCCCAGACUCCUGCGGGAGGCAGCAGUGGGGAAUAUUGCACAAUGGGGGGAACCCUGAUGCAGCAAUGCCGCGUGGGUGAAGAAGCACUCCGGUGCGUAAAGCCCUGUCAGCAGGGAAGAAAAUGACAGUACCUGGACAAGAAGCCCCGGCUAACUACGUGCCAGCAGCCGCGGUAAUACGUAGGGGGCAAGCGUUAUCCGGAUUUACUGGGUGUAAAGGGAGCGCAGGCGGCGUGGCAAGUCAGAUGUGAAAACCCGGGGCCCAACCCCGGGAGUGCAUUUGAAACUGCCAAGCUGGAGUGCCGGAGAGGUAAGCGGAAUUCCUAGUGUAGCGGUGAAAUGCGUAGAUAUUAGGAGGAACACCAGUGGCGGAGGCGGCUUACUGGACGGUAACUGACGCUGAGGCUCGAAAGCGUGGGGAGCAAACAGGAUUAGAUACCCUGGUAGUCCACGCCG
RNAcentral lists this ribosomal RNA (743 nucleotides) under uncultured bacterium. Its description in RNAcentral is "bacterial SSU rRNA". It matches the Rfam family "Bacterial small subunit ribosomal RNA", at positions 59 to 802 of the family's 1533-position model. The record is from RNAcentral.